This is an RNA transcript of Orcinus orca (killer whale), 5186 nucleotides long. It is a transcript of the gene named asparaginyl-tRNA synthetase 2, mitochondrial, with no coding region annotated. NCBI's taxonomy places the organism in Eukaryota, Metazoa, Chordata, Mammalia, Artiodactyla, Delphinidae. The record is from RefSeq and is a predicted model, not a curated record. The transcript has 16 exons.
CGUAGGGGUGGGUGCCGCGCGUGUUUCAGCUAGGAGGAAGCGCGUGAGUUUAGAAGCCACGCGGGGUUGUGGGGUGUCCCGGGAGCUCAAGGCGUGCGCUUUCUCUUCGGCCGUUCGCCGCUGAAAGUCUUGUGUCCUUUCCGCCCUUUCGGGGUGGGGGAAAGCAGAGCUUCUCCACGAGCUGGGGCCCGUGAAGGAGAAGGGAGCCAGCGGGGGACUCUGGAGUGCCUGAGGGCAGGGCUGCGGCCCGGAAGAGGGGAGGAAAAGAGAGGGUUCUCGUAGGCAGGGUACGCACGCGCUGGGAUCAGGGCUGGUCCCGAGAAGGGCCUGGGGCGGCCGCGCUAUGUUCGGGGCCCGGUGCCUGCUCCGAGCCCUGCGCUCCUGUUCCUCGGCUCCCUGCCCAAGGCACAAACCUUCAGCCAAACUGAGCGUGCGGGACGCUCUCGGGGCCCAGAACGCAAGUGGGGAGCGCGUUAAGGUCCAGGGAUGGAUUCGUUCAGUCCGAUCCCAGAAGGAAGUCUUGUUCCUGCAUGUAAAUGAUGGGUCAUCUUUGGAAAGCCUUCAGGUUGUAGCAGAUUCAAGCUUUGACAGUAGAGAACUGGCCUUUGGGAGUUCCGUGGAAGUUCAAGGGCAGCUGGUAAAAAGUUUGUCCAAAAGGCAAAAUGUGGAACUGAAGGCAGAAAAAAUUGAAGUUGUUGGAAAUUGUGAUGCCAAGGCUUUCCCUUUUAAAUAUAAAGAGAGGCAUCCUCUGGAGUAUCUGAGACAAUACCCUCACCUUAGGUGUAGGACUAAUGUUCUGGGUUCUAUACUGAGGGUUCGCAGUGAAGCCACAGCUGCUAUCCAUUCUUUCUUUAAGGACAGUGGCUUUGUGCAUAUUCAUACUCCAGUAAUCACAUCCAAUGACUGUGAGGGGGCUGGAGAACUUUUUCAAGUUACGCCUUCAAGCAAAAUAAAGGUACCUGAGGAGAAUUUCUUCAAUGUUCCUGUUUUCUUAACUGUCUCAGGACAACUUCAUCUAGAAGUGAUGUCAGGAGCUUUUACUCAAGUGUUUACCUUUGGUCCAACAUUCCGAGCAGAGAAUUCUCAGAGCCGGAGACACCUGGCAGAGUUUUAUAUGGUAGAAGCAGAGAUUUCUUUUCUUGAGAGCCUUCAAGAUCUCAUGCAGGUUAUGGAGGGCCUCUUCAAGACUACAACAAUGACAGUUCUCUCAAAUUGUCCUGAAGAUGUUGAACUCUGUCAUAAAUUCAUAGCUCCUGGCCAAAAGGACAGAUUAGAACAUAUGCUAAAAAACAACUUUCUAAUCAUUUCUUAUACUGAGGCAGUGGAGAUCUUAAAGCAGGCAUCCCAGAACUUCACCUUCACUCCAGAGUGGGGUGCUGAUCUACACACUGAACAUGAAAAGUACCUGGUGAAGCACUGUGGCGACAUACCAGUCUUUGUCAUUAAUUAUCCAUUAGCACUCAAGCCCUUCUACAUGAGGGAUAAUGAAGACAGCCCUCAGCACACAGUUGCUGCUGUUGAUCUUCUGGUUCCUGGAGUUGGAGAACUCUUUGGGGGAAGCCUCAGAGAAGAACGGUACCAUUUCUUAGAGCAGCGAUUGGCCAGGUCAGGACUGACAGAAGCCUACCAAUGGUAUCUGGACCUCCGUCAAUUUGGAUCUGUGCCACAUGGAGGUUUUGGGAUGGGAUUUGAACGCUAUCUGCAGUGCAUCUUGGGAAUUGACAAUAUCAAAGAUGUUAUCCCUUUUCCAAGAUUUACUCAUUCGUGUCUUUUGUAGCUGAAGACUGCUUAAGGAAAACCACCCUGUGCCAGAGGUACUGCACAUGAAUAUACAUACAGGAGAAUGCAUGUUUGAACUGUUGAAAUGCAGAAGUUUUCAAUAUGUAAUUGUCAUGCCAGAAGAUACAUGAAAGAUACAUGUGAUCAUGAUUUUCAUUGCACGUUGAAGGCAUUUCAUGGAAAGAUGAACUCCAUCAAGAAGAGUUCCCAUUCUCAUUUCAAAUUUUGAAGAAGGUGGAGAAAAAUAGUUACUUUCCAUCUGGCUGUCCGCUUGCCUGCGUAAGUUGUGCUGUCGUGGGUUUGUGGGGUUUUUUUGACAGGGGGGUUGGGGGGGGAUUAGGAGGGUCUGACAAGAACUUAAUUGUGGGAGUGAUCCAUUCCAGAUCUAGACAUAGCUCUCCUACCCUCUGACCCAGCCCAGAGACUCUUAACUCUCACAGAACGGCAAAGGAAUGGUUUGACCUUUUGUCCCUCCCAAACAGAAUCUGCUAGAAGCACCCCUCUACAGUGUUAUACAUUCAUAUUCUCUAUAAAUUGAAUCUAGACAUUUCACGCAGGACUGAACAGGCAUUGAAGAUGCAACUGGUGAGAUGGAUUAACUCUACCCUUCUUUAAACCUCUUCAGGUUUUUGCAUCAGGAAACUGUCGGGUCAGAUUCCUGCCAGAAAAUGUGCUGGAUGUUUCGUGUCUUGGAAGGGGUAUUAGACGUAGAGGGAGAAGACUCUGGUUUAUGUCUGACGCUCUACUUACCAGCUGUGGAACCUUGAGCAAGUUAUUUUAUCUCUGAGUUUGUAUACUUAUCUGCAAAAUGAGGAUAAUAUUUAACUUACAGAGUGUUGUGAGAAACGGCGAAGACUGUGUGAAAGGGUUUCAUAAGUUGACAACACUACACAAAUGUAAGGUCUCCUAAGGGAAUCCUUUUCAAAACUCAAAAAAAAAAAUCUGUAUGAAGUAAGAUAUUUAUUACAUGUUGAAUGAAAUAUUUUAUAGCCAUAAAAAUUAUAAGAGAAAAUGUGUUGAAAAUUUUUUAAGUUGUACUUUGCAGUUACAACAGUGUAAAAGCUGUGCACAUGGACUAGAAGCAUAUGGGAAAAAAUGGAAUCAGCUGUUUCAGGACAGUGGAAUUGAGCGACUUUUCUUUAAAAAUCUCUUUGGCCUAUUCAAUUCAGUUCAGUAGACGCACUGUGCCAGGUUAAGUGCUCGAUUCUGUGAACACAGAGAAAAAUAGGAUAUGCUCCCACGUCUCAGGGACUCCCAUUUUGUAUAAUCUUUGUUAAAGUUUAUUAUGCAUAAGAAUCACCUGGGGAGCUUAUUAAAAGUUCAGAUUAUCCUGAUACCACCCUAGAAAGUCUGUUCCACCCUAAAAGGUCUAGGAGGUAACAGCACACAGUUAGCAUUCUUCAAACAGUCACCCUGAGUGAUUCUAAUAUAGGUGGUUUAACUUCACACUGUGAGAAACCUUCAGUGAGGUUUUAAUGUUUUUACUGUAAAAAGUAAUAAUUAGAUCUGCUCAUUGAAGAAUUUGAUUGUUCUGUCUGGACCUUUCUAUUUAAUAUAUAUAUUUUUUAAAAUUUUAUUUUUUUGGCCGCAUUGGGUCUUCUUUGCAGCGCAAUGGCUUUCUCUAAUUGCAGUGAGGAGGGGCUACUCUUCGUUGCGGUGUGUGGGCUUCUCAUUGCGGUGGCUUCUCUUGUUGUGGAGCCCGGGCUCUAGGCGCGCGGGCUUCAGUAGUUGUGGCACGUGGGCCCUAGAGCGCGCGGGCUUCAGUAGUUGCGGCACAUGGGCUCUCAGGUGCAUGGGCUUCAGUAGUUGUGGCACACAGGCUUAGUAGCUGUGGCGCAUGGGCUUAGUUGCUCUGCGGCAUGUGGGCUCUUCCCGGACCAGGAACCCAUGUCCCCUGCAUUGGCAGGCGGAUUCUUAACCACUGUGCCACCAGGGAAGUCCCCUGUGUGGACCUUUGAGCUGGCUUCUGUGCCUCUAUAUCAAGGAUGGGAAAGCCAGCCUGCAGAGUGGUGUUGCUCUGGAACUCAUGUGGCAUAGAUCCUGCCACAUCUCUCGACCUUUAUCUCUGCCUCACUUCCUUUCUCUUCCACUACCUCUCCCAUGUUUUUUCUCUGUGCAUGUUUUUCUCUCCCACUCUGAUUCCUCCUAUGCCUGCAAUACAGCAACAUCCAGGUGCUUCCCCUUCCUUUCUCCACCCCUUCCCCCAACCAGAUAUGUCAACUUUAUUGAAAAGAAACCCAACCUACUUCUAGUUUACUAACUUGUGCAGGAAGGCUCUUGUAUCUAGUUAAUGUUUCUCAGAAAACUUAGGAGUGGGCUAUUCGUGGAUCAACAACCACAAAGAUACCAUAUGUGGACCUUUUGUGUCUUUAUUUUGACUCUUGAUUAACUUUUUUCUAGUGGGUUAGCAGCCUUCAACAGAGUCCUGUCCUGCUCAUCAGGCUGGAGUGUGCCCUGCAUCCUGACAGAGCACUGCUUGUCUCCACAUGCCUAUGAACGGACUUGGGUGGCUUUCUCAGGCUACACACCUGUCACCUCUUAGUCACCUAGAAUCAAAAUAUUAACAGCUCUGAUCACACUGUCUGAGGCCAUGAGGCUUUAUUUCAAGAAUGGUGACACUCCAAAAUGCAGCUAGGAUUUCUACCUUUUCAUGUGUUUAUAUUACUAGUGUUAGUGUUUAUAUGACUUGCACCUCUAGAUACCAAGGGUUGGUCAAUGGCUUCCAGACUCCCUCCCUCCAUUAUGCUCCCUCAGAACCAUAUGAAAAUACUGGUUCUCUUAUGUUGUCAUUUGUCUUCUCUGCCAGAACGUGAGCUCCAUGAGAACAGGAGAGUGUAUUUAUCUUUGUAUGUCCAGUGCCUUGGAGAGUAUCUGGAACAUAGAGGGUACUCAUUAAAUAACUCUUGAAUGAAUUAGGUAUCAAAAAUUAGGUGUCAAAAAAAAGUAAAUGUACCCACCAGACAAAAGGGAGAUAUUCCUUAAAAAAUAAUUCCCAAACGGACUUUCCCCCCUCUAUGUCUCUAAAAUAUAUCAUAAAUUGAAUUUUUAAAUUAGCCUUUUCAGCCUAAACCCAAGUCUGAAGCCACUGCCUGAACAUAGAACAGAAAGUCAGGGAUCAGAAGAAACUAUGAGUUCAACUAGUAAUUUGUCAUUGUAAUCUGUUACUGAAGGUGAGUUUCUAGGGCAACUCUCCAGCACUGCUGGAGUACAGUGACUUAGUAGGCUUGUCAAGAACCUCUCCAUGCUGUUCAUCAUUACAUAACCAGCACCUAGCCAAGUGCCUUGCACAUAGUAGGUACUGAGUAAAUAUUUGUUGAAUGAAUUAUUUGAUUGGUGGAGGAAAUUCAGAAGCAAGUCCUAAGACGAAUUUAGUUGGAGUCGCUCAUAUUUUUAGUUAGUGUUUUUUU